This 253-nucleotide ribosomal RNA is filed under the name uncultured bacterium. RNAcentral describes it as "partial 16S ribosomal RNA". It matches the Rfam family "Bacterial small subunit ribosomal RNA", at positions 524 to 776 of the family's 1533-position model. The record is from RNAcentral.
UACAGAGGGGGCAAGCGUUGUUCGGAAUUACUGGGCGUAAAGGGCGCGUAGGCGGCCUUCUAAGUCGAACGUGAAAUCCCCGGGCUCAACCCGGGAACUGCGUCCGAUACUGGAAGGCUUGAAUCCGGGAGAGGGAUGUGGAAUUCCAGGUGUAGCGGUGAAAUGCGUAGAUAUUGGGAAGAACACCGGUGGCGAAGGCGGCGACCUGGUCCGUGACUGACGCUGAGGCGCGAAAGCGUGGGGAGCAAACAGG